AUUGAACGCUGGCGGCAUGCUUUACACAUGCAAGUCGAACGGCAGCGCGGGCUUCGGCCUGGCGGCGAGUGGCGAACGGGUGAGUAAUGCAUCGGAACGUGCCCAGCAGUGGGGGAUAGGCCGGCGAAAGGCGGAUUAAUACCGCAUACGACCUGAGGGUGAAAGGGGGGGACCGAAAGGCCUCGAGCGAUUUGAGCGGCCGAUGUCGGAUUAGCUAGUUGGUGGGGUAAAGGCUUACCAAGGCGACGAUCCGUAGCUGGUCUGAGAGGACGACCAGCCACACUGGGACUGAGACACGGCCCAGACUCCUACGGGAGGCAGCAGUGGGGAAUUUUGGACAAUGGGGGCAACCCUGAUCCAGCCAUGCCGCGUGCGGGAAGAAGGCCUUCGGGUUGUAAACCGCUUUUGUUCGGGAAGAAAUCCUCUGGGCUAAUACCCCGGGGGGAUGACGGUACCGGAAGAAUAAGCACCGGCUAACUACGUG
Molecule: ribosomal RNA, 484 nt
Filed under: uncultured bacterium
Lineage: Bacteria
Description: partial 16S ribosomal RNA
Rfam family: Bacterial small subunit ribosomal RNA
Source: RNAcentral